Molecule: ribosomal RNA, 194 nt
Filed under: Palaemonidae sp. BOLD:AAB8551
Lineage: Eukaryota; Metazoa; Arthropoda; Malacostraca; Decapoda; Palaemonidae
Description: partial 18S small subunit ribosomal RNA
Rfam family: Eukaryotic small subunit ribosomal RNA
Source: RNAcentral
CCAGUUGGUGCAUGGCCGUUCUUAGUUGGUGGAGUGAUUUGUCUGGUUAAUUCCGGUAACGAACGAGACUCUGGCCUACUAAAUAGUGGAUGGUGGUUUUGGUGCAUGGGCCCCGUCCGACUUUGUCUUCUUAGAGGGAUGAGCAGCGAGUAUAGCUGCAGGAGAUUGAGCAAUAACAGGUCUGUGAUGCCCUU